CUACGUGCCAGCAGCCGCGGUAAUACGGAAGGUCCAGGCGUUAUCCGGAUUUAUUGGGUUUAAAGGGUGCGUAGGCCGUUUGAUAAGCGUGCUGUGAAAUAUAGUGGCUCAACCUCUAUCGUGCAGCGCGAACUGUUGAACUUGAGUGCGUAGUAGGUAGGCGGAAUUCGUGGUGUAGCGGUGAAAUGCUUAGAUAUCACGAAGAACUCCGAUUGCGAAGGCAGCUUACCGUAACGUUACUGACGCUUAAGCACGAAGGUGCGGGUAUCGAACAGGAUUAGAUACCCUGGUAGUCCGCMCAGUAAACGAUGGAUGCUCGCUGUUGGCCUUUUUGGUCAGUGGCUUAGCGAAAGCGUUAAGCAUCCCACCUGGGGAGUACGCCGGCAACGGUGAAACUCAAAGGAAUUGACGGGGGCCCGCACAAGCGGAGGAACAUGUGGUUUAAUUCGAUGAUACGCGAGGAACCUUACCCGGGCUUGAACUGCAGCUGAACGAUUCAGAGAUGAU
Molecule: ribosomal RNA, 507 nt
Filed under: uncultured bacterium
Lineage: Bacteria
Description: bacterial SSU rRNA
Rfam family: Bacterial small subunit ribosomal RNA
Source: RNAcentral